GAUGAACGCUGGCGGCGUGCCUAAUACAUGCAAGUCGAGCGAACAGACGAGGAGCUUGCUCCUCUGACGUUAGCGGCGGACGGGUGAGUAACACGUGGAUAACCUACCUAUAAGACUGGGAUAACUUCGGGAAACCGGAGCUAAUACCGGAUAAUAUAUUGAACCGCAGGGUUCAAUAGUGAAAGACGGUUUUGCUGUAACUUAUAGAUGGAUCCGCGCCGCAUUAGCUAGUUGGUAAGGUAACGGCUUACCAAGGCAACGAUGCGUAGCCGACCUGAGAGGGUGGUCGGCCACCCUGGAACUGGGCCACGGUCCAGGCUCCUACGGGAGGCAGCAGUAGGGAAUCUUCCGCAAUGGGCGAAAGCCUGACGGAGCAACGCCGCGUGAGUGAUGAAGGUCUUCGGAUCGUAAAACUCUGUUAUUAGUGAAGAACAAAUGUGUAAGUAACUAUGCACGUCUUGACGGUACCUAAUCAGAAAGCCCCGGCUAACUACGUG
Molecule: ribosomal RNA, 497 nt
Filed under: uncultured bacterium
Lineage: Bacteria
Description: partial 16S ribosomal RNA
Rfam family: Bacterial small subunit ribosomal RNA
Source: RNAcentral